RNAcentral lists this ribosomal RNA (329 nucleotides) under uncultured eukaryote. Its description in RNAcentral is "partial 18S ribosomal RNA". It matches the Rfam family "Eukaryotic small subunit ribosomal RNA", at positions 1470 to 1796 of the family's 1831-position model. The record is from RNAcentral.
CCCUUAGAUGUUCUGGGCCGCACGCGCGCUACACUGAUGCAUUCAACGAGUCUAAAACCUGCUCUGAUAGGGGUGGGUAAUCUUUUGAAUGUGCAUCGCGAUUGGGAUAGAUGAUUGCAAUUUUUCAUCUUCAACGAGGAAUGCCUAGUAAACGCAAGUCAUCAGCUUGCAUUGAUUACGUCCCUGCCCUUUGUACACACCGCCCGUCGCUCCUACCGAUUGAAUGAUCCGAUGAAUAUCAUGGAUUGAGGAUGCAAGUAGGUUCGCCUAUCUUCAUCUUCGAGAAGUGAAGUAAAUCUUAUCAUUUAGAGGAAGGAGAAGUCGUAACA